This 497-nucleotide ribosomal RNA is filed under the name uncultured bacterium. Its description in RNAcentral is "partial 16S ribosomal RNA". It matches the Rfam family "Bacterial small subunit ribosomal RNA", at positions 28 to 507 of the family's 1533-position model. The record is from RNAcentral.
GAUGAACGCUGGCGGCGUGCCUAAUACAUGCAAGUCGAGCGAACAGACGAGGCGCUUGCUCCUCUGACGUUAGCCGCGCACGGGUGUGUAACACGUGGAAACUCUCCUUAUCUGUCUGGGAACACUUCGGGACACCGGAGCUAAUACCGGAUAACAUGCUGAACCGUAUGGUUCAACAGUGAAAGACGGUCUUGCUGUCACUUCUAGCUGGAUCUGCGCCGCAUUAGCUAGUUGGUACGGUCCAGGCUUAUCAAGGCUACGAUGCGUAGCCGACCUGAGAGGGUGAUCGGCCACACUGGAGCUGAGACACGGUCCAUACUCCUACGAUAGGCAGCAGUAGGGAAUCUUCCGCAAUAGGCGAAAGCCUGACGGAGCAACGCCGCGUGAGUGAAGAAGGUCUUCGGAGCGUAAAACUCGGUUAUGAGGGAAGAACAAAUUUGGAAGGAACUAAGCACGGCGUGACGGUACCUAGUCAGAAAGCCACGGCUAACUACGUG